GCCCUGGUAGUGUAGUCCGGUCAAUCAUACUGCCCUCUCGAGGCGGUGACACGGGUUCAAAUCCCGUCCAGGGCA
RNAcentral lists this transfer RNA (75 nucleotides) under Acidobacteriota bacterium. RNAcentral describes it as "Acidobacteria bacterium (hot springs metagenome) tRNA-Glu". It matches the Rfam family "tRNA". From Rfam's summary of the family: Transfer RNA (tRNA) molecules are approximately 80 nucleotides in length. Their secondary structure includes four short double-helical elements and three loops (D, anti-codon, and T loops). Lineage: Bacteria; Pseudomonadati; Acidobacteriota. The record is from RNAcentral.